RNAcentral lists this transfer RNA (72 nucleotides) under Camelus bactrianus (Bactrian camel). It matches the Rfam family "tRNA". Rfam says of the family: Transfer RNA (tRNA) molecules are approximately 80 nucleotides in length. Their secondary structure includes four short double-helical elements and three loops (D, anti-codon, and T loops). Lineage: Eukaryota; Metazoa; Chordata; Mammalia; Artiodactyla; Camelidae. The record is from Rfam by way of RNAcentral. RNAcentral also lists the same sequence under 2 other names.
AGGGUAAUAGAUCAGUGGUAGAGUGUGUGCUUGGCGUGCACAAGGUCCUGGGUUCAAUCCCCAGUGCCUCCA